GUGGGGAAUAUUGGACAAUGGGCGAAAGCCUGAUCCAGCCAUGCCGCGUGUGUGAAGAAGGUCUUCGGAUUGUAAAGCACUUUAAGUUGGGAGGAAGGGCAGUAAGUUAAUACCUUGCUGUUUUGACGUUACCGACAGAAUAAGCACCGGCUAACUUCGUGCCAGCAGCCGCGGUAAUACGAAGGGUGCAAGCGUUAAUCGGAAUUACUGGACGUAAAGCGCGCGUAGGUGGUUUUGUAAGUUGGAGGUGAAAUCCCCGGGCUCAACCUGGGAACUGCCUCCAAAACUGCAUGACUAGAGUACGGUAGAGGGUAGUGGAAUUUCCUGUGUAGCGGUGAAAUGCGUAGAUAUAGGAAGGAACACCAGUGGCGAAGGCGACUACCUGGACUGAUACUGACACUGAGGUGCGAAAGCGUGGGGAGCAAACAGGAUUAGAAACCCGAGUAGUCC
Molecule: ribosomal RNA, 450 nt
Filed under: uncultured bacterium
Lineage: Bacteria
Description: bacterial SSU rRNA
Rfam family: Bacterial small subunit ribosomal RNA
Source: RNAcentral